This 69-nucleotide transfer RNA is filed under the name Ictidomys tridecemlineatus (thirteen-lined ground squirrel). RNAcentral's name for it is "Spermophilus tridecemlineatus (thirteen-lined ground squirrel) tRNA". It matches the Rfam family "tRNA". Rfam says of the family: Transfer RNA (tRNA) molecules are approximately 80 nucleotides in length. Their secondary structure includes four short double-helical elements and three loops (D, anti-codon, and T loops). Further hydrogen bonds mediate the characteristic L-shaped molecular structure. tRNAs have two regions of fundamental functional importance: the anti-codon, which is responsible for specific mRNA codon recognition, and the 3' end, to which the tRNAs corresponding amino acid is attached (by aminoacyl-tRNA synthetases). tRNAs cope with the degeneracy of the genetic code in two manners: having more than one tRNA (with a specific anti-codon) for a particular amino acid; and 'wobble' base-pairing, i.e. permitting non-standard base-pairing at the 3rd anti-codon position. Lineage: Eukaryota; Metazoa; Chordata; Mammalia; Rodentia; Sciuridae. The record is from Rfam by way of RNAcentral.
GGGGUUGUGGCUCAGUGGUAGAGCGCUUGCCUAGCAAGUGCAAGGUGUUGGGUUCAGUCCGCAGCACCA